GAAAUUUCUUGAUUAUGUUAAUACCGCCUAGGGAUACGGGUAGGAUGAUCAGUUGUAUUUUGCUUCCGUUCCCUAUGCAUUAUUAGUUACUGGGGGAUGCUAGGGAUAGCAAGCCGGUAAUUAAUAAUAGGCUCUUUUCGCCAAGGAAUUGGGUUAAGGGUAGACAAGGAAAGUUUGCAUGCAAUUAGAUAAACAAGUGAAUUAAAUAAGAAGAGUAGAUAGAUGAGAGUGGAUAAGAUGAAAUUGUAAACCCCAA
RNAcentral lists this long non-coding RNA (256 nucleotides) under Vigna radiata. RNAcentral describes it as "long non-coding RNA (VRAD_LNC011214)". The record is from RNAcentral. Lineage: Eukaryota; Viridiplantae; Streptophyta; Magnoliopsida; Fabales; Fabaceae.